Molecule: ribosomal RNA, 259 nt
Filed under: uncultured bacterium
Lineage: Bacteria
Description: partial 16S ribosomal RNA
Rfam family: Bacterial small subunit ribosomal RNA
Source: RNAcentral
UACGGAGGGGGCUAGCGUUGUUCGGAAUUACUGGGCGUAAAGCGCGCGUAGGCGGACCUGCAAGUCGGGGGGUGAAAGCCCGGAGGCUCAACCUCGGAACUGCCUUCGAUACUGCGGGUCUCGAGUCCGGGAGAGGUGAGUGGAAUUCCGUAGUGUAGAGGUGAAAUUCGUAGAUAUUAGGAAGAACACCAGUGGCGAAGGCGGCUCACUGGCCCGGUACUGACGCUGAGGCGCGAAAAGCGUGGGGGAGCAAACAGGG